GAAUAAGGUGAACUGAACAUAGCCUUAAACCAAAAAAAACAUCCCCUCAAAAUUCUAAUGGGCAAAAUAGUCUUUUCGCUCCUACAAUCUUGAUCAAUCAAACCACACUUAAUUACUCCAAAUUCGAGGCUCCCUGUUUCUCUCUCUUUCAUUCUUGCUUUUUCCACUGCUUUUCCCCAUCAAUAUUGCCAUCAUUCUUCAUGUCAGCUUCUUCCCCAAAAUCUCUCAAAACCCCAUAAAUUCAUAUAGUAAAUCAUAAUAACCCACAACUUUUGUUUCUUCUUAAAAAAAACAUAACUUUCUUCCCAAAAAUGACACUUCCAUAAAAAAAACUAACAUCAACCCAGAAAUUCAAAACCCAAAACUUCAUACAAAAAAUGGGGAGCACAAACUCAAAAGCAGAAAAAACAGCAGCAUUAGGAAUGUGCAAACAAAGAAAACGGUUAAUAAACCAAACAAUAAAUUCAAGGUACAAUUUAGCAGCUGCACAUAUUUCCUACAUUCAAUCUCUCAAAAACAUUGGCAUUUCACUUCGACGUUUCGCAGAAGCCGAGGUUUUGAUAGAAUCAUCAAUCUCAGUUUCUCCUACUCACAUAACUGAAGUUGAUAAAACACCAUCUCACUCUUCUUCCUACCACCCUUCUCCUUCUCUUUCUCAUGACGAGCUUUAUUCCUCUGAACCUAGAUUAAGUUGCAUGAAAACAUCCGCCGCAAAUACUGGUGUUACUGUUACUUAUAAUCCUAGUACCAACAUUCAUACUUUCACUGAUAAUAAUAAUAAUAAUAUUAACAAUGAUGAAGAUUCCUUAGUUUUUCCGAUGCCACCACCGCCACCUCCGCCGCCGGAAUCUGAAGCUUCUUGGGAUUAUUUUGACCCGGGUGGUGACCCGGAUCAACCCGAGAGUUUUCGCUUUGUGGGUCCGGGUUUGGAAGAGGGUGAAGGUGGUGGGAGUGUUAGGUUGUGGGGUGAAGAGGGUAAUGUUGGAAAUUUACAUAAGGUUGAAGAUGUGAAAAUUGGGAAGAAAUUAGGAGGAGAUAAUAAGGAUGUAAGUGAAGAAAGGGAGGAUGCUUCAGAGUAUAUUACACAUAGAGCAAAGGAUUUUGUGUCAAGUAUAAAGGAUAUUGAGCAUCGGUUUUUUAGAGCAUCUGAGUCGGGUAAAGAGGUUGCUAGGAUGUUUGAAGCUAAUAAGAUUCAGGUUGGAUAUGCUGAGGUUAAAGGAAGCUCGUCUUCGUCGGACAUUUUAGCUGCUUUUCCUGUACUUUGUUGUCGUGGCGAAAGUGUUCAUGCAGCUAAUGAACUUCACCCACAAAAUGUGCCCAAGGUCAUCAUAUGGAACAGAUCUACAUCUUCACAAUCAUCAUCAUCUAGAAACCCUCUAGCCGUAGCAUCAAAGGAUGAUGCAGAUGACAGUGGCAGUGAGUGUGUCGAGGAUUUUUGCAUGAUUUCAGGGAGUCAUUCCUCCACUCUAGACCGGCUCUAUGCAUGGGAAAGAAAGUUAUAUGAUGAAGUCAAGGCCAGUGAAGUCAUCAGGAAGGUUUAUGACAAGAAAUGUGACCAACUCAGGCAUCAGUUUGCUAAAGAUCUUAGUACCCACGUUAUUGAUAAAACCAGAGCAGCAGUAAAGGAUCUGCACUCACGCAUCAGAGUAGCCCUUCAGGCUGUUGAUUCAAUAGCAAAGCGCAUUGAGAAAAUGAGAGAUGAAGAAUUACAGCCGCAGUUCAAUGAAUUGAUCACAGGAUUCAUCAGGAUGUGGAAAGCCAUGCUAGAGUGCCACCAUGCUCAGUACAUAACAAUAUCAUUAGCUUACCAUGCUAAGACUUCUGUUGGGACCUUGGGAGGAGAAACACGUAAGCAAAUAAUGGCUCAACUCCAGUAUGAAUUCGAGUGCUUUGGUCUCAGCUUUGCUAACUGGAUGAAUAGCCUUACGUCCUAUGUGGAAGCUCUGAAUGGAUGGCUACAAACUUGUGUGCUUCAGCCUCAGGAACGCACUCGAGGUAGUAGAAGGCCAUUCUCCCCUCGUCGUGUCUUGGCCCCUCCGAUAUUUGUUCUCUUUCGAGAUUGGUCAGCAGGGAUUAAAUCUUUACCUUCUGAAGAAGUCGGUGAUGCCAUUAGAAACUUCUUAUCAGACCUUCAGCAGCUGAUAAAACAGCAGCAGCAGACAGAGGAGAAAAAGGAAUCAGCAGUUUCAGAAAACAAUGAAGUACAGGGGAAGAAUGAAGAUACUAAUGAUGGUAAAUCUGGAAAUUUGGGCUCCAUCCAUACAAGUUUGACAAAGGUACUUGAUAAACUGACCAAAUUCUCCGAGGCUUCUUUGAAGCUUUAUGAGGAUAUUAGACAGAAAAACGAGGAUGCUCGUGUUGCAUAUUUGAAUCCGAGACAACCUUUCAGAUACUGAAGUGAAAGGUGCAUGUAAUUACUACUACUGGAAAUAUAUCCAAGGAUUUUGCUCCUGAUACAUCCGUCAAGUUUCAGAGUUAAUUUGCAGUUUCAGCUAGAGUAGAAGUAGCUAACAAAGCUAGAAAAGCAAGACGCUCAGAUACUCUUGGUCAGCAUCGCGUGCAUGAAACUUGAAAGGGCCACAUAGAAGAACUAAAUUGGAACAUGAUGCUUAAGAAAACUUUCUUUAUAUUGAGAUGCUUAAGAAGAACAUGAAGUUGCAACUCCUUGAAGAAACUAAUUUUCAUAAAAUUCAUGAACAAAAAAUUAACCAAAUUUCAAUAUGCCAAUCACAGAUAGCUUAAGCAGAUAAUCUACAAUUCAACAUACAUUUGAACCGAGCCAAAUACAAGCUAUAAUGUCUUUACAGCCAUAAUCGGUUGCUGUAUCAACCCUUCACCCACAAUGAAAAAAGUGAAUUGAAAAAGAGGAUGUAACUGAGAAAUGUGUCAUUAAUAUUUUCUCUGCUUUCUAAAUGUCCCAUAAAAGAUCAAUUCUGCAAUCCCUGUAUCCAGAUUUAGAAUCCAACAUGCUGUGUAUACUGUAAAUAAGCUUCCUUCUGCAUUGCUAUGGGGGCACGAGUAACACCA
RNA transcript from Beta vulgaris subsp. vulgaris (sugar beet), 3027 nucleotides. RefSeq lists it as hypothetical. NCBI's taxonomy places the organism in Eukaryota, Viridiplantae, Streptophyta, Magnoliopsida, Caryophyllales, Amaranthaceae. The record is from RefSeq and is a predicted model, not a curated record. The transcript has 6 exons.